Molecule: ribosomal RNA, 497 nt
Filed under: uncultured bacterium
Lineage: Bacteria
Description: partial 16S ribosomal RNA
Rfam family: Bacterial small subunit ribosomal RNA
Source: RNAcentral
GAUGAACGCUGGCGGCGUGCCUAAUACAUGCAAGUCGAGCGAACGGACGAGGCGCUUGCUUCUCUGAUGUUAGCGGCGGACGGGUGAGUAACACGUGGAUAACCUACCUAUAAGACUGGGAUAACUUCGGGAAACCGGAUCUAAUACCGGAUAAUAUUUUGAACCGCAUGGUUCAAAAGUGAAAGACGGUCUUGCUGUCACUUAUAGAUGGAUCCGCGCUGCAUUAGCUAGUUGGUAAGGUAACGGCUUACCAAGGCAACGAUGCAUAGCCGACCUGAGAGGGUGAUCGGCCACACUGGAACUGAGACACGGUCCAGACUCCUACGGGAGGCAGCAGUAGGGAAUCUUCCGCAAUGGGCGAAAGCCUGACGGAGCAACGCCGCGUGAGUGAUGAAGGUCUUCGGAUCGUAAAGCUCUGUUAUUAGGGAAGAACAUAUGUGUAAGUAACCGUGCACAUCUUGACGGUACCUAAUCAGAAAGCCACGGCUAACUACGUG